RNAcentral lists this small nucleolar RNA (140 nucleotides) under Gallus gallus (chicken). RNAcentral describes it as "GGN76 snoRNA". It matches the Rfam family "Small nucleolar RNA SNORA8". Rfam says of the family: ACA8 is a member of the H/ACA class of snoRNA that guide the sites of modification of uridines to pseudouridines. Lineage: Eukaryota; Metazoa; Chordata; Aves; Galliformes; Phasianidae. The record is from RNAcentral.
UUGCACUGAAUGGUAUCUGCACCCAGCAGCGUUCUUCUGAUGGGGUGUUCAAAAACCAGUGCUACAGUAAUUCAGCAUUUGGCAUCGUUGGUUUUCACUCUGCAGUGGUUGUUAAACCUGGUAUUCUUGCUGAUACAGGU